GGAGCUGGGUUUAGCAUGCAUUUAAACUAUUACCUGGGUUGUGUAGCUUGGCCGUCCUAAACCACCCACGGGCUAUAUGGGUUCAGCUCCCCUGUUGAAAGGGCCCUAGUGAGUGUAGCCACAUGAACAGGGAAUUAUAUCAUGGGAUGACUAGUACAUUCCUCAAUAGUGUGACAUCAUGCGCACAGUCCACUAAGACCAAUCCUCAUAUCGAUAAAUAAGAGUUUCCAAUUUUGAUCCCCCCCAGG
This 248-nucleotide long non-coding RNA is filed under the name Capsicum annuum. RNAcentral describes it as "long non-coding RNA (CANN_LNC001316)". Lineage: Eukaryota; Viridiplantae; Streptophyta; Magnoliopsida; Solanales; Solanaceae. The record is from RNAcentral.